UACAGAGGUCCCAAGCGUUGUUCGGAUUCAUUGGGCGUAAAGGGUGCGUAGGUGGCGCCGUAAGUCGGGUGUGAAAUUUCGGAGCUUAACUCCGAAACUGCAUUCGAUACUGCGGCGCUUGAGGACUGGAGAGGAGACUGGAAUUCAUGGUGUAGCAGUGAAAUGCGUAGAGAUCAUGAGGAAGACCAGUGGCGAAGGCGGGUCUCUGGACAGUUCCUGACACUGAGGCACGAAGGCCAGGGGAGCAAACGGG
This 253-nucleotide ribosomal RNA is filed under the name uncultured bacterium. Its description in RNAcentral is "partial 16S ribosomal RNA". It matches the Rfam family "Bacterial small subunit ribosomal RNA", at positions 524 to 776 of the family's 1533-position model. The record is from RNAcentral.